Molecule: ribosomal RNA, 435 nt
Filed under: uncultured Alphaproteobacteria bacterium
Lineage: Bacteria; Pseudomonadati; Pseudomonadota; Alphaproteobacteria
Description: bacterial SSU rRNA
Rfam family: Bacterial small subunit ribosomal RNA
Source: RNAcentral
ACGUACGCUGGCGGCACGCCUAACACAUGCAAGUCGAACGAAGUAGCAAUACUUAGUGGCAGACGGGUGAGUAACAUGUGGGUAUCUACCCUUUGGCCUGGAAUAACACGAGGAAACUUGUGCUAAUACCGGAUAAGUCUUUACGGAGAAAGCUUUAUGCACCAUUGGAUGAGCCCGCACUUGAUUAGUUUGUUGGUAGGGUAAUGGCCUACCAAGACUAUGAUCAAUAGCUGAUUUGAGAGGAUGAUCAGCCACAUUGGGACUGAGACACGGCCCAAACUCCUACGGGAGGCAGCAGUGGGGAAUCUUGCACAAUGGAGGAAACUCUGAUGCAGCGAUGCCGCGUGAGUGAAGAAGGCCUUUGGGUUGUAAAGCUCUUUCGUCGGGGAAGAAAAUGACUGUACCCGAAUAAGAAGGUCCGGCUAACUUCGUGCC